RNAcentral lists this ribosomal RNA (496 nucleotides) under uncultured bacterium. RNAcentral's name for it is "partial 16S ribosomal RNA". It matches the Rfam family "Bacterial small subunit ribosomal RNA", at positions 28 to 507 of the family's 1533-position model. The record is from RNAcentral.
GAUGAACGCUGGCGGCGUGCCUAAUACAUGCAAGUCGAGCGAACGGACGAGAAGCUUGCUUCUCUGAUGUUAGCGGCGGACGGGUGAGUAACACGUGGAUAACCUACCUAUAAGACUGGGAUAACUUCGGGAAACCGUAGCUAAUACCGGAUAAUAUUUUGAACCGCAUGGUUAAAAAGUGAAAGACGGUCUUGCUGUCACUUAUAGAUGGAUCCGCGCUGCAUUAGCUAGUUGGUAAGGUAACGGCUUACCAAGGCAACGAUGCAUAGCCGACCUGAGAGGUUACCCGCCCACACUGAACCUGAGACACGGUCCAAACUCCAACGGGAGGCAGCAGUAGGAAUUCUUCCGCAAUGGGCGAAGGCCUGACGGAGCAACGCCGCGUGAGUGAGAAGGGUCUUCGGUUCGUAAACUCUGUUAUUAGGGAAGAACAUAUGUGUAAGUAACUGUGCACAUCUUGACGGUACCUAAUCAGAAAGCCACGGCUAACUACGUG